Long non-coding RNA from Triplophysa dalaica, 430 nucleotides. RefSeq lists it as uncharacterized. The record is from RefSeq and is a predicted model, not a curated record. The transcript has 3 exons. NCBI's taxonomy places the organism in Eukaryota, Metazoa, Chordata, Actinopteri, Cypriniformes, Nemacheilidae.
GUUUCUACGUUGAAUGUUUCUACAGGAAUGACGAGUGGGACUGUUACAGCAGGUUUUAAUUGAGCAGAGAUGUUUCUAUUGGUCUGGCAAGUGAGGAUGUUUCUACAGAUCUGAUGAGUCGGGCUGUUACUGCUGGUCUGUCUCUUGGUAUGAGGAUUCCAGAGCCAAUCAGAUCAACUUUGCACCAGUUUAACAUUCUGCUCCACUGGUGUUAAAUGGCUGAAUACAUCCUACUACUUGUGUCAGUUAGAUGGCAAGAAACUCUUCAAUUAUCACCUACUGCAUGUCUUUCUACUACAAUGGAACUUGCAGUGGGUUCCUCGAGACUCUUAGGUUGUUUGCUUUGGUUCAGUCUUCAGUGAUCACGGUCUGCGUCAUGUCUUCUAAAAUGGAACUUUAAGGUAUGAGAGUUUCUUUAUCUUGUUUUUCA